UAAUUUAUAGUAUAUUCAGUACAAUUGAUUUCCAAUCUUUUAGAUCUUUUAGAUAAAUUAA
RNAcentral lists this transfer RNA (61 nucleotides) under Mesaphorura yosii. RNAcentral describes it as "tRNA-Gly". Lineage: Eukaryota; Metazoa; Arthropoda; Collembola; Poduromorpha; Tullbergiidae. The record is from RNAcentral.